Molecule: ribosomal RNA, 510 nt
Filed under: uncultured bacterium
Lineage: Bacteria
Description: partial 16S ribosomal RNA
Rfam family: Bacterial small subunit ribosomal RNA
Source: RNAcentral
GACGAACGCUGGCGGCGUGCUUAACACAUGCAAGUCGAACGAAGAGCGAUGGAAGCUUGCUUCUAUCAAUCUUAGUGGCGCACGGGUGAGUAACGCGUAAUCAACCUGCCCUUCAGAGGGGGACAACAGUUGGAAACGACUGCUAAUACCGCAUACGAUCUAACCUCGGCAUCGAGGAUAGAUGAAAGGUGGCCUCUACAUGUAAGCUAUCACUGAAGGAGGGGAUUGCGUCUGAUUAGCUAGUUGGAGGGGUAACGGCCCACCAAGGCGAUGAUCAGUAGCCGGUCUGAGAGGAUGAACGGCCACAUUGGGACUGAGACACGGCCCAGACUCCUACGGGAGGCAGCAGUGGGGAAUCUUCCGCAAUGGACGAAAGUCUGACGGAGCAACGCCGCGUGAGUGAUGACGGCCGUCGGGUUGUAAAGCUCUGUUAAUCGGGACGAAAGGCCUUCUUGCGAAUAGUUAGAAGGAUUGACGGUACCGGAAUAGAAAGCCACGGCUAACUACGUG